This is a long non-coding RNA of Zea mays, 958 nucleotides long. RefSeq lists it as uncharacterized. The transcript has 2 exons. The record is from RefSeq and is a predicted model, not a curated record. Lineage: Eukaryota; Viridiplantae; Streptophyta; Magnoliopsida; Poales; Poaceae.
AGGAGAUAUACUUGGAGCAUCAGAAUUAUAAGUGCAUCUACAAGAGCAAUUACAACAAUUCUCCAUCAGGUUGGUGUUUAGAAAUCUCAUAUGCAAAUGUGGGAAGACGAUGCCUCAUCAAUGACGAGUAGGUUGAAUCUCUCCUAGCGGCACCAUUGCUCACCACAACUGGUUUGCUUGAGCAACUUAAUGUCACUCUCAAGAGGGACCACCCUUCGACUGACACCUUGAAGCACCACAUAAGCUUUAGAAAGUUGGAAUUGUACUCCGUAUACAUAAAUUACCAUGAUAUUAUAUGUUCCUGUAAUUCUAUGUUGAUUCUUUAGAAAUAAUAUAUACGAUAUUGUAAUGUUUGUUCGACAUCAGUUGAUUUUAUUUGAGUUGACAUAUUUAUAAUAAUAUUAUAUAUUUAUAUUGUCACACAGAUUUUACAUAUCAUAUUGAUAUUUGUUAUUUCAUAUCUAUGUUUUACACUAUUUUUUAACUUCUGUGGCAAGUAUGAAUAAUUGAAAGAUUAAUAUAUGCCUGAUUGGAUGCCGUUGCAACGCACGGGCACCUACCUAGUGUUUUAUAUAAGGUGUAUCUGAAGCACUCCGUUGGUGGAAUUGUCCGUCCAAAAGGCAAAGCGUUUCAUAUAAAGAUCUAGCUCCAAAGUUCUGCAUCCCCAAUACCAUCACAGUACAAGGUAUUGGUAGCACUAGCUUCCUACGACCAAAUCCUUCAGCAGCAUGCAACCAACAUAGUUUUGCAUCUCUUUACAGAGUCCACGGUCUGGCAGCGCAUUCAAAAUUUAAAAUAACAACUACCCGCAGUAGGUUUACCCAGAAUCCUACACAAUUCCCCCAAAAGCGCACUAGCAAAAUCCUCACCUCUUCUCGUAGAGGAGCGCAGAGACAAGGCUGGCAAAGGUCUCAGGCUUCAUGUCCCUCUCCUCGCGCAGCUGAUACAGCUUGUGCCU